This 73-nucleotide transfer RNA is filed under the name Candidatus Parcubacteria bacterium. RNAcentral's name for it is "tRNA-Val". It matches the Rfam family "tRNA". Rfam says of the family: Transfer RNA (tRNA) molecules are approximately 80 nucleotides in length. Their secondary structure includes four short double-helical elements and three loops (D, anti-codon, and T loops). The record is from RNAcentral. Lineage: Bacteria; Candidatus Parcubacteria.
GGGCGCGUAGCUCAGCUGGCAGAGCGCUUCACUCACAUUGAAGAGGUCGGAGGUUCAAGUCCUCCCGCGCCCA